This 484-nucleotide ribosomal RNA is filed under the name uncultured bacterium. RNAcentral's name for it is "partial 16S ribosomal RNA". It matches the Rfam family "Bacterial small subunit ribosomal RNA", at positions 30 to 507 of the family's 1533-position model. The record is from RNAcentral.
AUUGAACGCUGGCGGAAUGCUUUACAUAUGCAAGUCGAACGGCAGCACGGGGGCAGCCCUGGUUGCGAGUGGCGAACGGGUGAGUAAUACAUCGGAACGUGCCCGGUCGUGGGGGAUAACGUAGCGAAAGUUACGCUAAUACCGCAUACGAUCUGAGGAUGAAAGCGGGGGACCUUCGGGCCUCGCGCGAUCGGAGCGGCCGAUGUCAGAUUAGGUAGUUGGUGGGGUAAAGGCCUACCAAGCCGACGAUCUGUAGCUGGUCUGAGAGGACGACCAGCCACACUGGGACUGAGACACGGCCCAGACUCCUACGGGAGGCAGCAGUGGGGAAUUUUGGACAAUGGGCGCAAGCCUGAUCCAGCCAUUCCGCGUGCAGGACGAAGGCCUUCGGGUUGUAAACUGCUUUUGUACGGAACGAAAAGGCUCUGGCUAAUACCUGGGGCUCAUGACGGUACCGUAAGAAUAAGCACCGGCUAACUACGUG